This 253-nucleotide ribosomal RNA is filed under the name uncultured bacterium. RNAcentral's name for it is "partial 16S ribosomal RNA". It matches the Rfam family "Bacterial small subunit ribosomal RNA", at positions 524 to 776 of the family's 1533-position model. The record is from RNAcentral.
GACAGAGGGUGCAAACGUUGUUCGGAAUUACUGGGCGUAAAGCGCGUGUAGGCGGCUCUGCAAGUCGGAUGUGAAAUCCCACGGCUCAACCAUGGAAGUGCAUUCGAAACUGCAGGGCUAGAGUUCUGGAGAGGAAGGUGGAAUGCUUGGUGUAGAGGUGAAAUUCGUAGAUAUCGAGAGGAACAUCGGUGGCGAAGGCGGCCUUCUGGACGAUGACUGACGCUGAGACGCGAAAGCGUGGGGAGCAAACAGG